This 497-nucleotide ribosomal RNA is filed under the name uncultured bacterium. RNAcentral describes it as "partial 16S ribosomal RNA". It matches the Rfam family "Bacterial small subunit ribosomal RNA", at positions 28 to 507 of the family's 1533-position model. The record is from RNAcentral.
GAUGAACGCUGGCGGCGUGCCUAAUACAUGCAAGUCGAGCGAACAGACGAGGAGCUUGCUCCUCUUACGUUAGCGGCGGACGGGUGAGUAACACGUGGAUAACCUACCUAUAAGACUGGGAUAACUUCUGGAAACCGGAGCUAAUACCGGAUAAUAUAUUGAACCGCAUGGUUCAAUAUUGAAAGACGGUUUUGCUGUCACUUAUACAUGAAUUCGCGCCUCAUUAGCUAGAUGGUAAGGUAACGGCUUACCAAGGCGACGAUGCGUAGCCGACCUGAGAGGGUGAUCGGCCACACUGGAACUGAGACACGGUCCAGACUCCUACGGGAGGCAGCAGUAGGGAAUCUUCCGCAAUGGGCGAAAGCCUGACGGAGAAACGCCGCGUGAGUGAUGAAGGUCUUCGGAUCGUAAAACUCUGUUAUUAGGGAAGAACAAAUGUGUAAGUAACUAUGCACGUCUUGACGGUACCUAAUCAGAAAGCCACGGCUAACUACGUG